AGCUUUUAAGAGAGUAUAAAAGGGGAACUAUUAUAGACCUUUAACCCAUAAAAGAUCAAUCUCAAACCUCUUUUCUCUCUACCUCCUCUCUCUUGUUCGAAGUUCAUCAAGAACACCUCCAUCGGAGGUAUUUUCUACUGUGAUUUCAGGAAGCAAAAAGGAGCAGCCACCACCGAGUUCAGCCACCUGUUACAGCCAUUAAAUGUGCCGAUUUUACCCCUGAAUUCGUUUGUUUUCCUGCUCAAUUAUCUCCCUCAAGUGCUGCUGCGAAACAGGAACGAAAAGGGGCGAGAAAGCUGCCGGAAACAUCCCCAACCACCCUAUUUUUUUCGACAACUUUGUGGCUGUUUCGAUACCGGGUCUUGAACGAAGCAAGAACCUCACCCAACCUCCAAUCUAAACUCGAGAAACACGCACCAAAUGUUGUUUAUAAGGUCAGAAGAGUUUGUAUAGAAGAUUCUCCGAUAUUUUUAUCAUACAAAUGCGAACACCGGAUUGUUAAGUGUAUGUAGUGAUUUAACAAUAGUCAUUAUCAAUGUAAUUUCUAUUUCGGUAAUAAUAAAAGAUUGUAUUUGUACUGUUCAA
This is a non-coding RNA of Lactuca sativa (garden lettuce), 585 nucleotides long. NCBI's taxonomy places the organism in Eukaryota, Viridiplantae, Streptophyta, Magnoliopsida, Asterales, Asteraceae. The record is from RefSeq and is a predicted model, not a curated record.